GACGAACGCUGGCGGCGUGCUUAACACAUGCAAGUCGAACGGAAAGGCCCUGCUUUUGUGGGGUUCUCGAGUGGCGAACGGGUGAGUAACACGUGAGUAACCUGCCCUUGUCUUUGGGAUAACUUCAGGAAACUGGGGCUAAUACCGGAUAGGAGCUCCUGCUGCAUGGUGGGGGUUGGAAAGUUUCGGCGGUUGGGGAUGGACUAGCGGCUUAUCAGCUUGUUGGUGGGGUAGUGGCUUACCAAGGCUUUGACGGGUAGCCGGCCUGAGAGGGUGACCGGCGACAUUGGGACUGAGGGACGGCCCAGACUGCUACGGGCGGCAGCAGGGGGGAAUAUUGCACAAUGGGCGGAAGCCUGAUGCAGAAACGCCGCGUGCGGGAUGACGGCCUUCGGGUUGUAAACCGCUUUCACCUGUGACGAAGCGUGAGUGACGGUAAUGGGUAAAGAAGCACCGGCUAACUACGUG
This 468-nucleotide ribosomal RNA is filed under the name uncultured bacterium. Its description in RNAcentral is "partial 16S ribosomal RNA". It matches the Rfam family "Bacterial small subunit ribosomal RNA", at positions 28 to 507 of the family's 1533-position model. The record is from RNAcentral.